GAUGAACGCUGGCGGCGUGCUUAACACAUGCAAGUCGAACGGACUUUUAUUGAAGCCUAGCGAUAUAAAAGUUAGUGGCGGACGGGUGAGUAACGCGUGAAUAACCUGCCUUAUACUGGGGGACAACAGUUGGAAACGACUGCUAAUACCGCAUGAUAUAUCUUAGCUGCAUGGCUUGGAUAUCAAAGGAGCAAUCCGCUGUAAGAUGGACUCGCGUCCAAUUAGCUAGUUGGUGAGGUAACGGCCCACCAAGGCGACGAUUGGUAGCCGGACUGAGAGGUUGAACGGCCACAUUGGGACUGAGACACGGCCCAG
This 315-nucleotide ribosomal RNA is filed under the name uncultured bacterium. Its description in RNAcentral is "bacterial SSU rRNA". It matches the Rfam family "Bacterial small subunit ribosomal RNA", at positions 28 to 334 of the family's 1533-position model. The record is from RNAcentral.